GAUAUCUUAUCUUCUACUUAUGUGCUUACCUCUUUUCUCUAUCAAAUAAUGUAUUCUUUGUAUCUACAAAAAUAUUCAGCUAACUAAUCAUUAUAAAUCCUUAACCUGGUGUGCUUUUGUCCGGGUUUUCAAUCUUUUCAAAGAUGGGUUGGGAAGUUAUGUUUAGAAGACAUAUUGGAAAGAUUACUUUUAUCCGAUUUUCCUUUUCGUUUCUCUUUCAUCUGUUUUUUUUUUCUUUUUCCUUUUUUCUUGGAAAAGGAUGCAAAAAGUUCCGUUGGUUGCAUUCCUUUCUUAUUUAAAAAAAAAAAGAAGAUUGUGUUCCUUUCACUGCUUUUGCAGCAUUAAAAAGUUUCUCUUAUUGCUUUUUUUGAGCUAUGGUUUAUAGUUUUCCUAAAGUUUUUGAGAGUUAGAAUUGUUCAACUGUGGCUUUUCAUGUGUAUGACUUAUUGUUCCCACCAUCUAUUUUGAUAGGAAGGAUGCUGUUCCAGCUUUGCCAUCAAAUGAUUCCAGGCACAAGAAGGUAUGUGUUUUUAAGUUUCCUGACCUUUUGUUAUUGUAUUUGAUACCUGGUAUCUAAAUCACCUUUAUCAUGAUACAUAGAAUAAGGUAAGGAUUGCCAUCACCAAUGUCAUGCUCUUUAGCAGCCGUCAUAGCAAUGAUGGAAAGUGAAUCUGCAAGUACUGUAGCAUUAAUAU
Molecule: long non-coding RNA, 695 nt
Filed under: Carica papaya (papaya)
Lineage: Eukaryota; Viridiplantae; Streptophyta; Magnoliopsida; Brassicales; Caricaceae
Description: long non-coding RNA (CPAP_LNC007817)
Source: RNAcentral